GUUGACCUCGGAUCAGGUAGGAAUACCCGCUGAACUUAAGCAUAUCAAUAGGAGGGAAGAAA
RNAcentral lists this ribosomal RNA (62 nucleotides) under Trichoderma harzianum. Its description in RNAcentral is "partial 28S ribosomal RNA". The record is from RNAcentral. Lineage: Eukaryota; Fungi; Ascomycota; Sordariomycetes; Hypocreales; Hypocreaceae.